Molecule: ribosomal RNA, 579 nt
Filed under: uncultured bacterium
Lineage: Bacteria
Description: bacterial SSU rRNA
Rfam family: Bacterial small subunit ribosomal RNA
Source: RNAcentral
CCUACGGGAGGCAGCAGUAAGGAAUAUUGCGCAAUGGGCGAAAGCCUGACACAGCGACGCCGCGUGGGGGAUGAAGGUCUUCGGAUUGUAAACCCCUUUCGGGAGGGAAGAUGGAAUGGGGUAACCCAUUCGGACGGUACCUCCAGAAGCAGCCACGGCUAACUUCGUGCCAGCAGCCGCGGUAAUACGAAGGGUGCAAGCGUUACUCGGAAUUACUGGGCGUAAAGCGUGCGUAGGCGGUUUGUUAAGUCUGUUGUGAAAGCCCCGGGCUCAACCUGGGAAUGGCAAUGGAAACUGGCGAGCUAGAGUACGGUAGAGGAGAGUGGAAUUCCCGGUGUAGCAGUGAAAUGCGUAGAGAUCGGGAGGAACAUCAGUUGCGAAGGCGGCUCUCUGGACCAGUACUGACGCUGAGGCACGAAAGCGUGGGGAGCAAACAGGAUUAGAUACCCUGGUAGUCCACGCCCUAAACGAUGCGAACUGGACGUUGGGAGCAAUUAGGCUCUCAGUGUCGAAGCUAACGCGUUAAGUUCGCCGCCUGGGGAGUACGGUCGCAAGACUGAAACUCAAAGGAAUUGACGG